CCUACGGGUGGCAGCAGUGAGGAAUAUUGGUCAAUGGGCGCGAGCCUGAACCAGCCAAGUAGCGUGAAGGAUGACUGCCCUACGGGUUGUAAGCUUUUUUUGUAAAGGAAUAAAGUGAGGCACGUGUGCCUUUUUGUAUGUACUUUAUGAAUAAGGAUCGGCUAACUCCGUGCCAGCAGCCGCGGUAAUACGGAGGAUCCGGGCGUUAUCCGGAUUUAUGGGGUUUAAAGGGAGCGUAGAUGGGUUGGUAAGUCAGUGGUGAAAGUUUGCGGCUCAACCGUAAAAUUGCAAUUGAGACUGGUAGUCUUGAGUACUGUUGAGGUAGGCGGAAUUCGUGGUGUAGCGGUGAAAUGCUUAGAUAUCACGAAGAACUCCGAUUGCGAAGGCAGCUUACUAAACUGCCACUGACAUUGAUGCUCGAAAGUGUGGGUAUCAAACAGGAUUAGAUACCCUUGUAGUC
RNAcentral lists this ribosomal RNA (460 nucleotides) under uncultured bacterium. RNAcentral describes it as "partial 16S ribosomal RNA". It matches the Rfam family "Bacterial small subunit ribosomal RNA", at positions 338 to 795 of the family's 1533-position model. The record is from RNAcentral.